Molecule: long non-coding RNA, 513 nt
Filed under: Monodelphis domestica (gray short-tailed opossum)
Lineage: Eukaryota; Metazoa; Chordata; Mammalia; Didelphimorphia; Didelphidae
Description: lncRNA (ENSMODG00000035847.2)
Source: RNAcentral
CCAGAAAUUUGCUUCAGGUCUCCAUUCCAUUUAGGUAGUUUAGUUUUGGCCUAAAUGCCUAAUUUGAAUUUAUCUAAUGAAAUGUUUCUCAAAAAAAAAAAACAUUCUGUGAUAAUGUAGAUGCAUGUUCUACUAAUCAAAAGUUACUAACAAAGCUUUUUGUUUGUCAUUAAACAGAUGGCUAAAACAAUCUGAAGCUGAAAUGUGACAUUCCUUCUCAACUUGACCAGAUGGAUGAAAAAUGGAGAUAUAUCAUGAUCCUUCAAGGGGUGGAGUUUGUGGUGCAGGGGACACGUCACACUGUGCAUCUCAAGAUGCCUUGUAAUAGAGCAGGUCAUAUUCCUAGUUCUAGUCAUGAUGCCCAAAAGCUUGGAACAGCUGGGACUAAUGCUGUGGGAUAUUAUCAGAAGAUCAAUUAAAUACACUUUGUUGCUUCUAGGGUAAAAGCGCUCAUGGGAAUCACCCAGAUGCCAGAUUCCACCAUAACCCCGGCAACCAUCCUAGCCUGAUGCU